RNAcentral lists this ribosomal RNA (301 nucleotides) under uncultured bacterium. RNAcentral's name for it is "partial 16S ribosomal RNA". It matches the Rfam family "Bacterial small subunit ribosomal RNA", at positions 509 to 809 of the family's 1533-position model. The record is from RNAcentral.
CAGCAGCCACGGUAAUACAGAGGUCUCAAGCGUUGUUCGGAUUCAUUGGGCGUAAAGGGAGCGUAGGCGGUCGGGUAAGUUGGAUGUGAAAUCCUGGGGCUCAACCUCAGAACUGCAUUCAAUACUGCUUGGCUAGAGUACUGGGGAGGUGAGUGGAAUUCACGGUGUAGCAGUGAAAUGCGUAGAUAUCGUGAGGAAGACCAGCGGCGAAGGCGGCUCACUGGACAGUUACUGACGCUGAUGCUCGAAGGCCAGGGGAGCAAACGGGAUUAGAUACCCCCGUAGUCCUUGUCUCUUAUAA